This 497-nucleotide ribosomal RNA is filed under the name uncultured bacterium. RNAcentral describes it as "partial 16S ribosomal RNA". It matches the Rfam family "Bacterial small subunit ribosomal RNA", at positions 28 to 507 of the family's 1533-position model. The record is from RNAcentral.
GACGAACGCUGGCGGCGUGCCUAAUACAUGCAAGUUGAGCGCUGAAGGUUGGUACUUGUACCGACUGGAUGAGCAGCGAACGGGUGAGUAACGCGUGGGGAAUCUGCCUUUGAGCGGGGGACAAUAUUUGGAAACGAAUGCUAAUACCGCAUAAAAACUUUAAACACAAGUUUUAAGUUUGAAAGAUGCAAUUGCAUCACUCAAAGAUGAUCCCGCGUUGUAUUAGCUAGUUGGUGAGGUAAAGGCUCACCAAGGCGAUGAUACAUAGCCGACCUGAGAGGGUGAUCGGCCACAUUUGGACUGAGACACGGCCCAAACUCCUACGGGAGGCAGCAGUAGGGAAUCUUCGGCAAUGGACGAAAGUCUGACCGAGCAACGCCGCGUGAGUGAAGAAGGUUUUCGGAUCGUAAAACUCUGUUGGUAGAGAAGAACGUUGGUGAGAGUGGAAAGCUCAUCAAGUGACGGUAACUACCCAGAAAGGGACGGCUAACUACGUG